GUGCUGUGAUGAACAUGUUAACAGCUGAAUACACCAGUGAAGCAAACUAUUUAAGCCUGAGCACU
Small nucleolar RNA from Pristis pectinata (smalltooth sawfish), 65 nucleotides. NCBI's taxonomy places the organism in Eukaryota, Metazoa, Chordata, Chondrichthyes, Rhinopristiformes, Pristidae. The record is from RefSeq and is a predicted model, not a curated record.